This 575-nucleotide ribosomal RNA is filed under the name Pimephales promelas (fathead minnow). RNAcentral's name for it is "partial large subunit ribosomal RNA". It matches the Rfam family "Bacterial large subunit ribosomal RNA", at positions 1817 to 2597 of the family's 2925-position model. The record is from RNAcentral. Lineage: Eukaryota; Metazoa; Chordata; Actinopteri; Cypriniformes; Leuciscidae.
CGCCUCCUGCAAUAUAAAGUAUAGGAGGUCCAGCCUGCCCAGUGACUACGGGUUCAACGGCCGCGGUAUAUUGACCGUGCAAAGGUAGCGCAAUCACUUGUCUCUUAAAUAGAGACCUGUAUGAAUGGCUAGACGAGGGCUUAACUGUCUCCCCCUUCCAGUCAGUGAAAUUGAUCUAUCCGUGCAGAAGCGGGUAUAAUUCUACAAGACGAGAAGACCCUUUGGAGCUUAAGGUACAAAAUUCACCCAUGUUAAACAACUCCGUAGAAAGCAAGAACUUUGUGGAUAUGAGACUUUACCUUCGGUUGGGGCGACCACGGAGGAAAAACAAGCCUCCGAGUGGACUGGGCCAAAAACCCCUAAAGCUAAAAGAGACAUCUUUAAGCCGCAGAACAUCUGACCAAUAAUGAUCCGGCUAAAAAGCCGAUCAACGGACCAAGUUACCCUAGGGAUAACAGCGCAAUCCUCUCCCAGAGCCCAUAUCGACGAGGGGGUUUACGACCUCGAUGUUGGAUCAGGACAUCCUGGUGGUGCAGCCGCUAUUAAGGGUUCGUUUGUUCAACGAUUAAAGUCCU